CCUACGGGGGGCAGCAGUAGGGAAUAUUGCGCAAUGGGCGAAAGCCUGACGCAGCGACGCCGCGUGGGUGAUGAAGGCCUUCGGGUUGUAAAACUCUGUCCUUGGGGAAGAAGGAAGUGACGGUACCCAAGGAGGAAGCCCCGGCUAACUACGUGCCAGCAGCCGCGGUAAAACGUAGGGGGCGAGCGUUGUCCGGAUUUACUGGGUGUAAAGGGCGCGUAGGCGGGUUCUUAAGUCCGGUGUGAAAUACCUCGGCUCAACCGGGGGGGUGCACUGGAAACUGGGGAUCUUGAGUGCUGGAGAGGGAAGCGGAAUUCCUAGUGUAGCGGUGAAAUGCGUAGAUAUUAGGAGGAACACCAGUGGCGAAGGCGGCUUUCUGGACAGUAACUGACGCUGAGGCGCGAAAGCGUGGGGAGCAAACAGGAUUAGAUACCCUGGUAGUC
RNAcentral lists this ribosomal RNA (443 nucleotides) under uncultured bacterium. Its description in RNAcentral is "bacterial SSU rRNA". It matches the Rfam family "Bacterial small subunit ribosomal RNA", at positions 338 to 795 of the family's 1533-position model. The record is from RNAcentral.